GUGAUUAAAUCAGAGCGUGUCUUCAUUGACCGCUCACCCUUCUCACCAUCCACAUACACCUGUGCACUGUUAGCCUGAGCCGGUUUUCCGGCCAGGUUAUCAUUUCAUACAAACUCUAGUCUUAUGAAUGUAAACGUUUUAAUAACAUAAUA
Molecule: unclassified non-coding RNA, 152 nt
Filed under: soil metagenome
Description: partial internal transcribed spacer 1
Source: RNAcentral